This 850-nucleotide ribosomal RNA is filed under the name uncultured bacterium. RNAcentral's name for it is "bacterial SSU rRNA". It matches the Rfam family "Bacterial small subunit ribosomal RNA", at positions 41 to 890 of the family's 1533-position model. The record is from RNAcentral.
GGGGCGGCAUACAUGGCAAGUCGAGCGAAGCGAUUAAGAGGAAGUUUUCGGAUGGAAUCUUAAUUGACUGAGCGGCGCACGGGUGAGUAACGCGUAAGGAACCUGCCUUUUAGAGGGGAAUAACAAUGAGAAAUCAUUGCUAAUACCGCAUAUGCCAUAAUUAUCACAUGAUAAUAGUGGGAAAGGAGCAAUUCGCUAAAAGAUGGCCUUGCGUCUGAUUAGAUAGUUGGUAAGGUAACGGCUUACCAAGUCGACGAUCAGUAGCCGGACUGAGAGGUUGAACGGCCACAUUGGGACUGAGAUACGGCCCAGACUCCUACGGGAGGCAGCAGUCGGGAAUAUUGCGCAAUGGAGGAAACUCUGACGCAGUGACGCCGCGUAUAGGAAGAAGGUUUUCGGAUUGUAAACUAUUGUCGUUAGGGAAGAGAAAGGACAGUACCUAAGGAGGAAGCUCCGGCUAACUACGUGCCAGCAGCCGCGGUAAUACGUAGGGAGCGAGCGUUGUCCGGAAUUAUUGGGUGUAAAGGGUGCGUAAACGGGAAAGCAAGUUAGUUGUGAAAUCCCUCGGCUUAACUGAGGAACUGCAACUAAAACUACUUUUCUUGAGUGCAGGAGAGGUAAGUGGAAUUCCUAGUGUAGCGGUGAAAUGCGUAAAUAUUAGGAGGAACACCAAUGGCGAAGGCGACUUACUGGACUGUAACUGACGUUGAGGCACGAAAGUGUGGGGAGCAAACAGGAUUAAAUACCCUGGUAGUCCACACCGAAACGAUGGAUACUAGGUGUAGGAGAUAUUAAGUCUUCUGUGCCGUCCGCAAAGCAAUAAAUAUUCCACCCUGGAAAUACGAACCCC